AGUGUGGCAGGGGUAAAGGUCUUGGUUCAAUGGUCGAAUCUUCCACCUGAAGAAGCAACUUGGGAGGACUAUGCAGAUUUGAAAGCCAAGUUUUCGGACUUCGACACCCAUCCUUGAGGUCAAGGAUGUUUUCCAUGGGGCAAGGUGUAACAACUUCAGCUAACUUUCCAAUAGCAGUUAGUAGUGGAAGGAGUAUUAGUUAAUAUAGGAGAUGCGGAAGGAGUGAAUUGCAAAUAAUAAAGGGC
This 245-nucleotide long non-coding RNA is filed under the name Solanum tuberosum (potato). Its description in RNAcentral is "long non-coding RNA (STUB_LNC002628)". Lineage: Eukaryota; Viridiplantae; Streptophyta; Magnoliopsida; Solanales; Solanaceae. The record is from RNAcentral.